Molecule: long non-coding RNA, 1965 nt
Organism: Phascolarctos cinereus (koala)
Lineage: Eukaryota; Metazoa; Chordata; Mammalia; Diprotodontia; Phascolarctidae
Source: RefSeq, a predicted model, not a curated record
CGAACGGACUCAAGUGGUGCUGCUGCCGCUCGAGGCGCUGUGACUGACCGAGAGGGAGAGAGAGAGAGGGGUGACGACCGCUGUGUGUGCCCUCCCUCCCGCUUCCGUCAGUCUGCCCCGCGUCCUAUCCCGAGGAGAACUCUGUCUCUGGGCUUUUUUUCCCCCUCCUCUGGUUGAGUUUCUUUGGACACUUGUAGGAAGCCGAGGGGAUGGGAGGCCUCCGUGCCCGGCGCUGGGCCUGGCGGGGGGGAAGGAAGGAGCCUGGAUGAAAACUCCAGAGAUAUGAAUCCUUCACACAGAAUGCUCUGCCUCCAACUGUAGUUUUGACCUGGGAACUGUUAGCAAGAUCAUCUAGCCUGCUGUGAUCAAGGAGAGAGGAGAUCUCAGUGGUAACCAGUCCAAGCUCUGAAUAUGUCCAGCUUUGGUUUGUGAGUGUCAGCUGCUCUAUGCUGGGGAGCCCGCCUGCAACACAAGAAAGAAUGCAGCUUCCGUGCUGCUGAACUACGGGCACUGUGGUGUCAGCGUUUACACAAUAAGCCUUCAUUCCCUGGGAUCAUGGACUCAGCUGGAUGUUGCCUGGAGAGUUUCUUUUUUUUCUCCUUCUAAUAAAGCCUUGGCCCUAGGACAUGAGGCUAAAGUAGCGCCUGUUGGAAACUGAAGCUAUGAUUCAUAACAAGAGAGCAUAAAACCAAGAGUUUCUAUGUAGAUUUGUUAUGAAACUUAGAAUUUUCUUUUCCUAGAAAUAAAGGAAAAAUCUUCUUAAAACACAGACCUAUAAAAUAAUCUUCUGUCCACUAAAUGUACUGAACUUCACAAGGACUUGGAAUCAUAACUCAGAAAUAUUUUUGUGUUUCAAACUAGCUAGCUAAUCAUAAAAGGCUUGAUGUUUAUGCAAUUCAACAGAUACUUGUUGAGUGUUAACUGCUUCAAGGUCACAGAGUAGUUUAAAAGGCAAAUUUAAAAUUAAAAAGCAUUAAGCUUAUAGCUAAAAAAAUUUGGUAUGGACUUCAGAUAAGCCAGGCUCUUGUAUCAUUUCUCAGGGACAAGUUAAAAAUAAAUUAUGGCUCAUGUGAUGUAGAGUUAACUGGCUUCUUCUGGUCUAAUAGAUGCCUUAACAUUUUAAAGAACACUAAUUGAUUAUCCAGGGAGGGUGUCUUUUCUGUUUGGUAAAGGAGUUAAGUAUGGCUAAAUAUACCGUCUCUUAGGAAUGUUGUAGAAAGCUGGAAAAGGAACACAGUUUUUGUGAACAAAAGCUGAUGUAUUUCCUGGCUGUCUAUUCUCAGGUCUUCAGGUAUUUGGCAAUGGAAACUCCCUGAUCUCAGUGACACAAGAGUUGGGUGGCUAUAGUAAGGACUUUUCUUGACUAGAAUACAUUAUCUCAGACUGAGUUCGAACAUUCAUUUUAGAUGACUGUGUUUGUAUUUUGGGAUAUGAAGAAGGUCUCCAGUCAGACAGGUUUUGUUUAUCUUACAGGAAGGGUAGUAAAAAACAAAUUACUAGAGAAGAUUCAAAGGUUUAUGGAUAAGAUGAUAGUGGCUAUGAUUUAUGGUAUUAUUAUGUAUAGUAUAUGUAUCAUAUUACAUAUAGUAUUUAGUUAUUUAUGGUAUUAUAUAAUUAUGUAUAGUAUUCAAUGUAUAGUAUUAUUAUGAAUAGUAUUCAAUCUUAGCCAUCACUUGAUUCAUUUGAGAAACUCAAUAUAAUCCAGUAGAUCAUCAAAUGAAAAUUUAGAGCUGGUACUGUACUCCAUUUUCUUGUGGCUAUUUCUUAGGCAAAAGGUCCCUGACGAUAGAAAUUCAAGUGCUUUGGAAUAAGGAUGGAUUGAUUGACUUGGAGAAACUAAAGCUGGACUUUGUAUUCCAUUUAAUGUAGGGUGGCCUUUUUUUGUGGGAAAACAUUAUAUGGUCAGAGUUGGAAAAAGCAUUUUACUUUGGAAGGAUGCUUCAUAAUAAAAGGACUGUAACCCUA